UAGAGUUUGAUCAUGGCUCAGAUUGAACGCUGGCGGUAUGCUUAACACAUGCAAGUCGAACGGAAACGACAAGAGCUUGCUCUUGGGCGUCGAGUGGCGGACGGGUGAGUAACGCGUAGGAAUCUGCCUAGUAGUGGGGGAUAGCCCAAGGAAACUUGGAUUAAUACCGCAUAAUAUCUAUGGAUUAAAGUGGAGGAUCUUCGGACUUCACGCUACUAGAUGAGCCUGCGUAAGAUUAGUUAGUUGGUGAGGUAAAAGCUCACCAAGGCGACGAUCUUUAGCUGGUCUGAGAGGAUGAUCAGCCACACUGGGACUGAGACACGGCCCAGACUCCUACGGGAGGCAGCAGUGGGGAAUAUUGGACAAUGGGGGCAACCCUGAUCCAGCAAUACCGCGUGUGUGAAGAAGGCCUGAGGGUUGUAAAGCACUUUCAAUUGUGAAGAAAAGUUAAGGAUUAAUACCCCUUAGCCU
This 471-nucleotide ribosomal RNA is filed under the name uncultured marine bacterium. RNAcentral describes it as "bacterial SSU rRNA". It matches the Rfam family "Bacterial small subunit ribosomal RNA", at positions 1 to 470 of the family's 1533-position model. The record is from RNAcentral.